This 253-nucleotide ribosomal RNA is filed under the name uncultured bacterium. RNAcentral describes it as "partial 16S ribosomal RNA". It matches the Rfam family "Bacterial small subunit ribosomal RNA", at positions 524 to 776 of the family's 1533-position model. The record is from RNAcentral.
UACGGAGGGUGCAAGCGUUAUCCGGAUUCACUGGGUUUAAAGGGUGCGUAGGUGGGUUGGUAAGUCAGUGGUGAAAUCCCCGAGCUUAACUUGGGAACUGCCAUUGAUACUAUCAGUCUUGAAUACCGUGGAGGUCGGCGGAAUAUGUCAUGUAGCGGUGAAAUGCUUAGAUAUGACAUAGAACACCAAUUGCGAAGGCAGCUGACUACGCGAGUAUUGACACUGAGGCACGAAAGCGUGGGGAUUAAACAGG